RNAcentral lists this ribosomal RNA (377 nucleotides) under uncultured organism. Its description in RNAcentral is "partial 16S ribosomal RNA". It matches the Rfam family "Bacterial small subunit ribosomal RNA", at positions 527 to 896 of the family's 1533-position model. The record is from RNAcentral.
GUAGGUGGCAAGCGUUGUCCGGAAUUAUUGGGCGUAAAGCGCGCGCAGGCGGGGUCCUUUAAGGUCUGAUGUGAAAGCCCACGGGCUCAACCGUGGAGGGUCAUUGGAAACUGGGGGACUUGAGUACAGAAGAGGAAAGCGGAAUUCCAAGUGUAGCGGUGAAAUGCGUAGAGAUUUGGAGGAACACCAGUGGCGAAGGCGGCUUUCUGGUCUGUAACUGACGCUGAGGCGCGAAAGCGUGGGGAGCAAACAGGAUUAGAUACCCUGGUAGUCCACGCCGUAAACGAUGAGUGCUAAGUGGUUAGGGGGUUUCCGCCCCUUAGUGCUGCAGCUAACGCAUUAAGCACUCCGCCUGGGGAGUACGGCCGCAAAGGCUG